AACGAACGCUGGCGGCGUGGAUUAGGCAUGCAAGUCGAACGCGAAAGAGGGGGCAACCCCUUGAGUAGAGUGGCGAACGGGUGAGUAACGCGUGAGAAACCUGCCUUCGACAGGGGGGAUAACACUCCUAACGGGUGCUAAUACCGCAUGAGACCACGGAGUCGCAUGGCUCCGAGGUCAAAGGUGGCCUCUAUUUAUAAGCUACCGGUCGAAGAUGGUCUCGCGUCCCAUUAGCUAGUUGGCGGUGUAAAAGACCACCAAGGCGACGAUGGGUAGCUGGUCUGAGAGGAUGGUCAGCCACACUGGGACUGAGAUACGGCCAGACUCCUACGGAGGCAGCAGUGGGGAAUUUUGGACAAUGGGCGCAAGCCUGAUCCAGCAAUGCCGCGUGUGUGAAGAAGGCCUGCGGGUUGUAAAGGCACUUUCAGUGGGGAAGAACGGAUACGGGCCAAUACCCGCAUCACUGACGUUACCACAGAAGAAGC
This 485-nucleotide ribosomal RNA is filed under the name uncultured bacterium. RNAcentral describes it as "bacterial SSU rRNA". It matches the Rfam family "Bacterial small subunit ribosomal RNA", at positions 29 to 491 of the family's 1533-position model. The record is from RNAcentral.